GCUGCUCAAAAGACUCAAAGGAAGGGGGUAGGCUGGGGGGAAGAGACUGUCUUAUCUCCUGUGUUUAUUUAUUGUGUCCUUUUGUUUAGAGGAAGUAGCGAGAAGAAAGGGGUCAUGAAAUUACACGCCUCUAAUGACAAAUGGUGAGGGGAAUGUGAGGUGGGGGGUUGCUAGGCCUGGACACCUAGAAUCUGAGCUUAGCUGCACCCCUUACUCUGAUUUGAGAACACGAUAAAGCUUCCGACCAUUUAAUUCAUUCCAGAUUUUGCUUUGUUUGUCCUGAGUUCAGUGCUGAAGACUCACACAUUUCCUGUCUUGAAAAGCUGUUAAUGUUUUGUGUAUAGUACAUGCACAACAUGAAUUGAGUAAGUGAAUGGAGGGGUG
RNAcentral lists this long non-coding RNA (384 nucleotides) under Homo sapiens (human). RNAcentral's name for it is "non-protein coding lnc-MCTP2-17:1". Lineage: Eukaryota; Metazoa; Chordata; Mammalia; Primates; Hominidae. The record is from RNAcentral.